Molecule: ribosomal RNA, 467 nt
Filed under: uncultured bacterium
Lineage: Bacteria
Description: bacterial SSU rRNA
Rfam family: Bacterial small subunit ribosomal RNA
Source: RNAcentral
GAUGAACGCUAGCGGCAGGCUUAACACAUGCAAGUCGAGGGGCAGCACGGGUAGCAAUACCUGGUGGCGACCGGCGCAAGGGUGCGUAACGCGUGAGCAACAUGCCCUAUACAGGGGGAUAAUCCAGGGAAACUUGGUCUAAUAUCCCAUAGUAUUUAGAGGAGGCAUCUUCUAUAAAUUAAAGCUUCGGUGGUAUAGGAUUGGCUCGCGUGACAUUAGCUAGAUGGUGAGGUAACGGCUCACCAUGGCAAUGAUGUCUAGGGGUUCUGAGAGGAAGGCCCCCCACACUGGGACUGAGACACGGCCCAGACUCCUACGGAAGGCAGCAGUGAGGAAUAUUGGACAAUGGAUGGAAAUCUGAUCCAGCCAUGCCGCGUGCAGGAAGACAGCCCUAUGGGUUGUAAACUGCUUUUAAUGGGAGCAAUAAGGUCUACGUGUAGACUGAUGAGAGUACCAUAUGAAUAAGC